This 470-nucleotide ribosomal RNA is filed under the name uncultured bacterium. RNAcentral describes it as "bacterial SSU rRNA". It matches the Rfam family "Bacterial small subunit ribosomal RNA", at positions 28 to 510 of the family's 1533-position model. The record is from RNAcentral.
GACGAACGCUGGCGGCAUGCCUAAUACAUGCAAGUCGAACGCGGCCAUCCGGUGCUUGCACUGGUGAAGCCGAGUGGCGAACGGGUGAGUAACACGUGAGAAACCUGCCCUGGAGUGGGGAAUAACUCGAAGAAAUUCGAGCUAAUACCGCAUACCUUCUCUUCACCGCAUGGUGAGUUGAAGAAAGAUUUAUCGCUCUAGGAGGGUCUCGCGGCCUAUCAGCUAGUUGGUGAGGUAAUGGCUCACCAAGGCAUCGACGGGUAGCUGGUCUGAGAGGACGAUCAGCCACACUGGGACUGAGACACGGCCCAGACUCCUACGGGAGGCAGCAGUAGGGAAUCUUGCGCAAUGGGCGCAAGCCUGAUGCAGCAACGCCGCGUGCGGGAUGACGGCCUGGGUUGUAACCGCUUCAGCAGGACGAAGCGCAAGUGACGGUACCUGCAGAAGAAGACACCGGCAACUACGUGCCG